RNAcentral lists this ribosomal RNA (19 nucleotides) under Acremonium sp. r291b. RNAcentral describes it as "partial 28S ribosomal RNA". Lineage: Eukaryota; Fungi; Ascomycota; Sordariomycetes; Hypocreales; Bionectriaceae. The record is from RNAcentral.
GUGACCUCAGAUCAGGUAG